CUUCAGCGAGCCGAGCCACAGCGGGUCCCCGCCCCGGUCCCGGCCGUACGUGGCCAGGAGCGCCCCGGCCUC
Molecule: antisense RNA, 72 nt
Filed under: Streptomyces albireticuli
Lineage: Bacteria; Bacillati; Actinomycetota; Actinomycetes; Kitasatosporales; Streptomycetaceae
Description: ASpks TB sRNA
Rfam family: ASpks TB sRNA
Source: Rfam by way of RNAcentral